GCCCGCCUAGGAGCUGUUCUCCUUAAUAAGCAAGAUUUAUAACCACUGGGAAGACGGGAAGAAGGGGACCGAAGGGAGAGCGGGGGAAGCAAGACGACCCCUCUUCCCCCCCCGCCCCCUCCAGACUGGAGAUACAAAAAAAAAAAAGAGACACCCCCCCUCCCUCCAGAUCCUUCUCCCCCCUCCCCAUCCUUCCCAUUGCUGAAAGCAUCUUUGCACCAAGAUGCGGGACUUAUUGCAAAGGCCGAGCGGAGGCCGAGCGGAGUGAGGUUUGCAGGGGGAAGGAAUCAGAGCAGCUCCCGUUGUUUCCUAGGGUGAGGCGAGAGAGCGUGUGUGUGUGAAGCGUGUGUGUGUGUGUGUGUGUGUGUGUGAGCGCGAGCGCGAGGCGGGGAGACACAGACACUGCAUUGCUGCUGAGCCACGAGCCUCCAAUAUGCUGCCGCCGCUUCUGCCGGGGCUGGGGCGCGCGAGUCAGCAUCAGCAGCGGGCAGCCCCCGGUGGAGGUCACAGGCGUGGGGCUGAGACCCUGGGUGUCUUCUGAUUUGAGAAGGAUUCUUUAAAAAAAAAAAAUUGUUGGCAGUUAGUCUCCCCCCCAUCCCCCCCCCACACACUUUCUUCUCCCCCUCCCCCUUUAUUUCCCUUUCCUGGGCUCUGCCUUGGAUGAUUUUUAGGUGGAGUCGUUUGCACCAAAACCCUUCAGCUGCUGCUGCUCUUGCUGCUAUUUCCCCCCACGCCCUCUCCCCCCCCCCCUUUUUUUUGGUGUGAUACUGUUUCCACAGCAGGAGAAGAAGGGACUGAUCCUGAGGAUCCUCCUAGAGGAUGAAUAACCCCAAGAAAUUGACUGAAGCAGCACGCUGGACCUGGUGCACCAUUCAGAUUUGAUUAAAUAAUAAUUCAGGUUUUUUUGCCAUUUUCUUUUUUCACCUUCUGGGGGCUUUGCAAACCGAAUUACAUGCAUGUCCAGUGGGGGAAGGUUUAAUUUUGACGAUGGAGGCUCCUACUGUGGAGGCUGGGAGGACGGAAAGGCUCACGGCCACGGAAUCUGUACCGGCCCGAAGGGUCAAGGCGAGUAUACCGGCUCCUGGAGUCACGGCUUUGAGGUGCUGGGGGUCUACACCUGGCCCAGUGGCAACACUUACCAGGGCACCUGGGCACAGGGCAAGCGCCAUGGCAUCGGUGUGGAGAGCAAGGGGAAGUGGGUGUACAAAGGAGAGUGGACUCAUGGAUUUAAGGGACGGUACGGGGUCCGUGAAUGCACUGGCAAUGGGGCCAAAUAUGAAGGCACCUGGAGCAAUGGAUUACAGGACGGCUACGGGACAGAGACCUACUCGGAUGGAGGGACGUACCAGGGCCAGUGGGCUGGUGGCAUGCGCCAAGGCUAUGGCGUCCGGCAGAGCGUCCCCUAUGGCAUGGCUGCUGUUAUCAGGUCGCCCCUGAGGACAUCCAUUAACUCGCUGCGCAGUGAGCACACCAAUGGCACGGCGCUGCACCCUGACUCCUCGCCCGCCGUGGCCGGCAGCCCCGCUGUCUCCAGGGGCGGCUUCGUCCUCAUGGCCCACAGCGAUGCCGAGAUCCUCAAAAGCAAGAAGAAGGGGCUCUUCCGGCGGUCCCUGCUGAGCGGGCUCAAGCUGCGCAAGUCUGAGUCCAAGAGCUCCCUCGCCAGCCAGCGCAGCAAGCAGAGCUCCUUCCGGAGCGAGGCGGGCAUGAGCACCGUCAGCUCCACCGCCAGCGACAUCAACUCCACCAUCAGCUUGGGUGAGGGGGAGGCCGAGCUGUCCGUCAUCGAGGAUGACAUCGACGCCACGACCACCGAGAUCUACGUGGGUGAGUGGAAGAACGACAAGCGCUCAGGCUUCGGGGUCAGCCAGCGCUCGGAUGGCCUGAAGUACGAGGGAGAGUGGGCCAACAACAAGCGCCACGGCUACGGCUGCAUGACCUUCCCGGACGGCACCAAGGAGGAGGGGAAGUACAAACAGAACGUCCUGGUGAGCGGCAAGCGGAAGAACCUCAUCCCGCUGAGGGCCAGCAAGAUCCGCGAGAAGGUGGAUCGGGCCACUGAGGCGGCAGAGAGGGCAGCCACCAUCGCCAAGCAGAAAGCGGAGAUUGCGGCUUCCAGGACUUCCCACUCCAGGGCUAAAGCAGACGCAGCUGUGACAGCAGCGCAGAAAGCUCAGGAGGAAGCUCGGAUUGCCAGGAUCACUGCCAAAGAGUUUUCGCCUUCCUUCCAACACAGGGAAAACGGGCUCGAGUGCCAGAGGCCAAAGCGUCAGAACUCAAGCGACGACAUCGAGGUCCUCUCCACAGGGACCCCGCUCCAGCAAGAAAGCCCAGAGCUGUACAGGAAAGGCACCACCCCUUCUGACCUCACUCCCGACGACAGCCCCCUGCAAAGCUUCCCCGCCAGCCCCUCCUCCACUCCGCCGUUGGGCCCCACCUGCAGGACCAAGAGCGCCCAUUUCUCCAGGCAGGUGUCGGUGGACGAAGAGAGGGGUGGGGAGAUCCAGAUGUUGCUGGAGGGACGAGGCGGAGACUACUUGAGACCCAACAGCUGGAGCGAAGACCAAGCAGGCGGGACGCGUGGCGUUAGAAGCGGGACCCUGCGCAGCAGUCAUUUGGGGUCUGCCUCCAUCCCUGAAGAUUACGGAGGCCGGAGUGGAGGGCACAAACAUAAGGCCUCCAACCACAAGCAAAGAGAGAGGUGGACAGAUUCCCCAGCUGCAGUUUCUUGGACUUCCCACCACAGGUCCCACAACCAAAGCUCAGGGAGUGCCAAGCUGCUUGAGCUGGAUGAGGAGAAACUGAGCAAUUACGAGAUGGAAAUGAAACCCCUCAUGAGGAUGGAUUCUUACAUGCAAGAGUUUCACACCCAAAAAAGACACUAUAGUAAAGCAGGCGCCUGCAGGAGCCUGGCUGAGGACCACCGUGGGGAAGACCGGGGCUUUCGGGUUCAGAGACUGAGGUCUAAGUCCCAGAACAAAGAGAAUUUCAGGCCAGCUUCCUCUGCUGAGCCCACAGUGCAGAAACUGGAAAAUCUGAGGUUCGGGGACAAAGCGGAACCCCGGCUAUUAAGGUGGGACUUAACCUUCUCCCCGCCACAGAAAUCCUUACCUGUUGCACUAGAAUCCGAGGAGGAAAAUGGGGAUGAGCUCAAGUCCAGUACGCCUGCCCCAGUACUUGGAUUCUUCCGAACCAUGUUGGUCGAGGCAAGCAGCAGUCCCACUCAGAGGCUUAGCAUUCAAAGAGGGAGCAGCAGCCUAGCGUGCCAAGCACAGAAGACUGAUGUCCCAGCGCUGGCCCACCUCUAGGGUGUGUUGCACGCUGCACGGGAGCUCACACUUAUUAGACAACCGACUCUCUGAAGAGACCACCCCAAAGUGCCCCAAAGCGUAGGCUCGGCUCCCAUUCUGGUAGUCAUGGUGAUCUUACUGAACAUUGGCGUCGCCAUUUUGUUUAUUAACUUUUUCAUCUAAUUGAGACUGUCUUGUUUGAAAAAAUAAGAGUUACGUGUACGAACGGGGGAAAAAAACCAAACAAAAACAAAUCAAAAAAAGGGAAAGAUCAUGACUUGAACCAUCCUGUGACAACUUCCAAGUCUUUUCACAGAAGAACAACAAAUGAUUGAGUCUCACUCACAGUUUGCCUUUUUUUCCUGGGUAAUGUUUUUUGGAUUUUAGCCAAAAUUCUUUGCUUGUACAACACUAUGCUGUGUGGCAUGGCAGAAUGCUAACAACUCUAUGACCCUCCCAGCACCAGAAAGGAUGAGACAGGAUCCCAGCAAAAUAAGAGUCAGUUAUUUUUUCCCCUCCAAAGUAAAUAAAGAACAAAACUGGCAAAAUGGAGGUAAGAGGGUGGGCAGAUGGAACAGGGACGCAAAGGGGGUUGAAUGAGUCUCUGGUGUAAACACUCAACCCCAUUGUUGUGAAGUUGAUGGGGGGGGGGAAUCCCCUUUCACCCAUCCUCUUCUAACCCCCCUGCCACAAAAAAAAAAACCCUCACAUUUUUCUUCCCUUCUCUGCUACCAGAAAAAAAAAAAAAAAAAGCAGGAAUGAGGAGGAGAAAAAGAGGUGCUUGGGGAAGGGGAAGAGACCCCCCCUGAGUACAGAGGAUGAAAGGAAAGUGGCCCAUUUUUGUUACAGUUUAAAAAAAUUCUGAAGCAAUCAGCAUUUUGCUCAGUUCUGGUGUGGUGGUGGUGGGAAUUACAAGGUGUAAAUAUCAUACCUGCUGGCACCCUCCUGUCCUCACUCGGCCAGAGCAAAACCGCCCAAAGCCACCCUCUUUCCGUUCAAAGCUGAUUUCUCCUAGCUACAAAUCUGCCCUCCCUCCACCCCUCCUCACCCCAUAAAUUGCCUGGUAGCUUAUUACAGCCCAAAUUCCGCCCCCCAAACACCCCCACACACCCCCAGGAGUGGUGAUACUAAAACAAUCACCAGCUAUCCCAUCCUGAACUGCAACACCCCUACACAAACACACCAGCGCUUACAGAGAAUGCAAGGAAGCUGUCCGGUGGGAGAUUUGAUUCUGAUCUAGCAAAGGACAUCUGGGGAGGAGCACUGGAACAGCUGCAGGAGCGGAGGAGAGCAGCUGGGUAUGCUUGUUACAUCUUGCCAUGGACCGCUUCAGACAUCAUGCUUGGGCUCUGAGCAUGUCGUAUUUUUGCACUUUGUAUGCAGGAUAUAUAUUCCAGCUUCCGACAUGUCCCUGUAAAAAAAUGUCAUUGGCAACAGCAGCCUCUAAGGAUGUAUUCUUUUCUAUACGUCACUUAAUUUUGUUUGUUUUAACAUCUUCGUAAUGGAAGUGGCCUACUGAGGUGCCUUCCUGUCCUACCCUUCUAUGAGUCUAUGCCUGCCUUGAUUUUUUCCCCACCCUUUCCUCCCCGAUAAUACACAUUCAUUAAAGAUGCAGUACCCCAGUCCUGAGCUGUUAUGGUCGCAAUGACAAGAGCAUGGUUUUAGCUCAGUUGCUUGGAAAUUCCUGAAGUCCUGUUACAUUCCAAAAACAAUUUAACUGUUUUCCCUGCCCACCUCCAUCCCCAAGACCACAUGCAGUCUGUCCUUGCCGGAUAAGUCAGCUGUGCACUUCAAAAAAGUUAACUGCCUCUCUCUGAUACAGUACAUAUUGGAACCUAUCUGACCCACAAUUACACCCACUGCAAAUCCAUUGGAUAAAGGGGGGAAGGGGGUCUUGAGGGUCAGAUAUGGCCCGUAUACAAUCCUCUAGAUUUUAUCUGUGACCAAAUCCGUCUCAUCAUUUUACAUACAGAGUGUUGGGCACAACCCUGACUUGUGGACUUGGCUUUGCUUUGCUUACAUUUUAUCUGUUUCUCUGCUACCUUUUUAGCAGAUUUCUUUAUUACACUGCACUGGAUUGCUAUAUUUUUAACCAGAAAUAAACUAAAGAUUAGUGCAUGUGCCAGUUAAAUUCAGUUCUUUUCCUUAAACUGCCACGCUCAUUCUCUCUUACCAUUUUCUUUCCUUUUUUUGUUUGUUUUCCUUUCUGGGUUGAGGGUGUGGGAUGGAAGGAAUGAAAGGCAGAUAAUGCAAGCCUAGUAACCUUUCUGAUAAUUUUGUUUCCAGGGGAACAGUCCAUCUUUUUGGUCCAUCUUCAUUUUUUUCCCCAUUCAUCUUUUUUAAUAUUGAACGGUUGCUGCAGACCUUAAGUGAACCAAAUAACGACAUAAUGUAAUUGCAGCCCUAGGAAAUCAUACAUGCUGCGAUAUGUGUUUUGUAAUUCUGUUUGCAACUCUUUGUAAAGAUUCUAGAGAACUUUUUUUGUACAUUCCAGUAAGUGCAUGACACACAGAUACCUACAGAAGUAGGUUACAUAUUUAAAUGCAAACACAGUACAAUAUUUAGAUAUGUAUAAAACAGCACAAAAAUGCAUAUCAUUAUCAAAUAAAAGUACUAGUGGUUUCAUGACUAGGUUUCUCACACUGGUGACUGACUAGUUAUUACUGCUUUUCUUGCAGACUUCCAAGGAAUCGAUAUACGGCUACCCCAAAUUCAACCUAACUCCAUUUGUCUUUCAUCUCUUGGUUUCUCCCUUUGAAGCACCCGGCCUCGGCCACUGUCAGAAGACAGGAUGCUGAGUUAGAUGGACCAUUGGUCUUACCCACUAUGGCUGUUCUUAUGUUCUAGUUUCCAUGGGACUAAGAUUCAGUGGGUCUGAAAGACAUCUGAAGAGUAAUAUUAAUUGGUUCCCAAACAAUGUGAUUAAAAAUAAUGAUCCCUUGAUUAAUCAAAGUGAGUUGAGCAAUUUGUCUUAGCUCUGUGCUUUCACAUCCACCCAGAGCCAAAAAUAUUAUUGACAAGUAGCCCAUUGUACUCAUUGUACCUCAUAAGUACUGUGUUCACGGCCCUCUCUCUCUCUCUUCGGCAUGUCUAAGACAUGCAGCACCAUAGUAUCUAGACACCACAUCCACAUAUACUCUCUCUCCACGCUGUUUUACAUGUAUACUCAAAUGUGUAGCUAGACAGAUGCAUGCAAGCAGCUGUGCGAUUCUGAAGACAAUUGACUUUGCUUUUCAGUCUUAGGGAUCUUCUCAUUUUCCUAAGGAGAAAGUUGCAGCUAUUUAUAACCAAUCCAACCUCAUGUCCUGAGGGCUGGUUCCAUGUGUGUUGUACUGGUGACCCCCUUUCACACAGCAAGCCUCUGGUGCGACAGCCCCCACCCACCCUUAUAAAUUAAAACCCUUUUUUUAUAUUUAACAGUAUAAAUGCUGGAGGUGAAGCAGGGUUUGGGGUGGAGGCUGACAGCUCAUGACCCCCCAUGUAAUAACCUCAUGAUCCCCUCAGUGGUCACAACCCCCAGUUUGAGAACCCCUGUGUUAGAGGAUAAUUGGUUACUUCCUGUAUCUGUCAAGUGUUUUAACACCACGGGCAAUUUUUAAAUCACGAUUGGAUGUUUUGUUAAAAGCUCUGGGGGACGUUCAUCUGGUCUGACCUCCUGCAUAACCCAGACGAGAGAUCGCAAUGGUCCCUUCCGGCCUGCAAGUCUCUGAACAGGAUCUUCUUUGUCAAUGUCAAAUAUACACAUGCACACGCUCACUCUUUUCCGGGUCCUACCCUCGAUCUGUAUGGAAUGGACUUCUGCUGUGCAGAUAGUAUGGAAUGCAGGACUACGCUACACUUUCUCGAGGACAAGCUGACAUUGAGUUAAGGAGCUCCAUAGCACUGAAGUCAGAAGGUUUGGCCUUCCAAGGAAGCGGACAUUGCAGUGUUAUCCUUUAGCUCUGGUUUCUUGCCUUGUGUUGUUGUCGAGGGGAUGCUGUCUGGAGACACUUGAAAUCAAACACAAGGAGUAGAUUACUUGGCAUAAGGACAGAGAUGCUGAGACGCGCAGCUAAUGCUGGUUUACUGCAAGAAAGGUACCAUCCCUAAGCGCAGCCGCAAAAGCAGAUGCGUGAAAUCCCUGCGCCACAGCCAUGUGACAUGCAAUGAAGGCACAUAUCAGAGUUGGAGCGGGACUGGAAUGCACAGCGUGGCCCAAAAAGAGCAGACACAAGGAUAAGUCAGGGGGCCAGAAAGCAGCAUUUGGUUUGCAGCCAAUAAACACUCGUGAAAAGGAAGUGCUAACAGCACAGGUGGAAGAAGAGAUCUCAUUCAGAUCUGAGGAAGGAAGCACAGGUGAGUCAGCAAGGUAUCCAGACAAGCUGAGGAGAUAAACUUUACGUGGUGCUUGAGACAUUCAGAAAGAGCACUGAGCAUCAUGGAGGUACAUGUGGGACCGCGGGGGCAAGCCUUGCUGUCAAUGACCUAAGUUACAGGGAAGCUAAGCGCGCUCCAGCAGUGCAGCCUCGGUGGCAGGAGGCGCAUGCCUGAUCACGCACUGAGCGCUCGCUCCAGCACCCGUGACCCCAGGAUGCCACUUGCCAAGGCAUUAUUGGGGGCUGAUUGUCAGCAUGGAGUCAAAUGGUGCCGCAUGAAAAAUCAGGCCCUUCCUUAGCAUGCAGGGUUUGUAGGAAGGUGAUGACGGAGAGAGAUCAGGAAGGAAGGAAGGACUGCGAGGAGAAAUGAUCCGCAGGACUUCGCCAUGAUGUGUAAUCUGACACCUACAAUGUGGCAGAAGCUGUUGGGGACCCAUCACUCUGAGAGGUUCUGGUCUGGGUGGUUUACAUUGCCAUGAAGAUUGUCGAUCUGUCUGUCUCUCACACACACACACGCCUCUGACUGCGAGGAUGAUGCUGUGUGCCUCACUCACUUACACAUCUUCCAUACAUCCAAGAGAGAGCGUGGGUGUAUAAGCUCCAUCAAUACAUUUCUAUACAGUGCAUCCACAAUACAGAUGCAUCUACCUGAUUACUUUUAUCUCCCAAUUUGGAUGAAACACAGAGCCAAGGUCCCGAUCACUUGUCAUUAAAAAUCCUUUGGCCCCAUUUUCAGGUGUGUAAGCACCAGUGGCUUAUCAAAGCACUGAUCCCCCUAGAUUGACUUGUUUUAACCGGAUCUGGUUUUCUUCUUAGCAGCCAUUAUGCAGCAGGAUAGAGACAGGAAGCGGUGUCUUGCCCCAGAAGUGGCUGCAUGUUGGUGCCAGGUAAAGUGAUCCUGCUGAGACUAUAGGGAAAAGCAGUUUGAGGCUUUGGAAAGGCACCAGCGAAUCAGAAUUGAUGGCACCAGUAAUUCCACUGUUGCACGCCAGCCUCCCCGCCUCUCCGCAUCCUGACAGCAUCUCAGAAUGCAAUUCUCUUGGUUAGCUGUAACGCUGAGGCAUUCUGCUCUAGAGAUGGGGGUCAGGACAGCCACUGGGCCCAUCUCCACCUAACAGGUUGAUAAUAAGCAGAGCUUCUUGACAUGAACUAAAAUAGUUGAUGAGCUUCUGCAGCCCGAGGCCUGCAUUUGUGAAAACCUUUGUGUUCUUGUCCUUCCCUUCUUGCUGAGAGGCCUGGCAGCUCAAGGUUUUCUCCAUUUGACACAUACCAGCAGGGCCCAUCAAUGGUACUCAGUGCGGGCAGGACGGAGGUCACUUCUCAAAAGCCUGCACGUGGAAAAUAUGUCCAGAUUCAGCCCAGAUGAGGUGGGUGAGAACCAGAGCAAUCCAGCCCCUGGCGCCAGGAAAUGCCAACAAUGUCCCUCUGCAGGAAACACCACACAGAGGGAAGGAAACACCUGUUGAAUUGAGCUAGUUGGGAAUUCUCCACUGAGACUUUGUUUUGUCCAUAAGAAAAUGCCGAUUUGUCAAAACUGAAACUGUUUGCCAGAAAAGUCUUCCAACUGGAAGAAAUUUUGGUUUCAGAGUGGUCAAAAUGGUGUAUUUUGACAUUUUCAAAGUGAAAACUUUUGAAAUGACUGAAGCAAAACAUGUCAACUGACCUUAUCCAAACUUUUGUUCAGACUAGGGCUUUGUGAAAAUUUUCUAGAUUAAUUUUUUUUCAUGAUCCUGGAACGAAAAAAAAAAACUCUCACUCUCUCUAAAUUUGGGUGGGACAGGAAAACCAGGUCCUGCCCAGCUAGUGCUAUGAGAUACACGUCUCUUCUGCUGUCAUCGUGCAUGGCACGGCCAAGCAGCAGGGAGAGUACAUGGGUGGCGAGCUGGGACACACACAGCUGGAGACAUGCAGACCUCUUGCUGCUCAUCCAUGAACAGAAAUCAAAUACUUCUGUCAUCCCUGCUGGACUUAAUGGCUUGAUUAGUUUAACUGCCACUCCCUCACACUGAUAUCUGCCCUGCUGCUGACACCUCUACUAUCUGACCUCUGGAACCUAAAGCCACUUGGGGAAACCAGGUAUCUAAAAUGGACCCUGUUUUAUGAGGAAGGGCUUUAGAUGGUCAUCCGAUCAAACUUUCACCACACUUAAUUUCUCCAGUGCCAAGAGCGCCUGAUGACAAGGCAGAUACAGGCAGUGCCUUUGCUAGUUUAAAAUGAGGAGUGGAUAGCACCUGCGAGUACUGGGAUGUGAGGUGUUUAGUGCUAGGUCACUAGUUCAAAUCCAGGUCAGGCCAUUUGUGACUGAAAGCGGUUAUCUGAUGGCAGCUGGAGGGCCUAUGCAACACAGAUUGGUGGAUCUCAGUCCAGUUCCAACCGGGCCCAGUAAACCACCACUACUGGCAGCUGCACCAGAGAGACCAAGGACCCGGCAUGCCUGUAGUGUGUUUCACUCAGGGGUCAGCAGGAUUAGUGGGCAAGCUGUGGCUCGAUAGUUCUUCUGCCCCCACAAAGUCCUGGGCAGGGCUGUAGGGGGACCCAGAUCCUCCCUCUCCAACAGGUCCCAGCCCAGGGCCCAAGGCAGAGAGAGAGUUUCUUGGUCACCUCUUUGUGGUGCACCUGGCAGGCCUCCUGUGGGCUGCUUCCCACCUCCCUGCUCUCUUUGGCUUGGAGGUGUGGUGGCAGCCCCCUCACCCCUAGCACAGAGAUCCCAAUCAGUCCCAGCAGCUCUCGCUUUAACUGGAUGCUCGGAAGACCGCUGUUUUCCCUCAGCAGGGAAUGGGGAACCCUCCUGGUUGGGGUCUGACCCAAAGUCCAGACACUUCUCCUCUGGAUUGCCUUGCCUCCAGAGGCUGCGAAUUGGCUUCCUCUCUUUGGACAGCCUCUCCUUCACUCACCUCGGGCCUGACUGUUAAGUCCAUCUUGGAGCAGGUCCUCCAUUUGACACAUGCUCUGCAGCUGCUGAGGGGUGGGGCCCUUCUGCCCAGUACAGCUCCUUCCCUUCCUUAGGCUCUGUGCGGGGUCUGUAAACACCAUCAUCACAGUGCCAUAAAGAUCAAAUGAGGUCUUCAUAGUUAGAGGAGGUCCCCUGAGGAAGGGCUGAGGCAUGUUGGUUGGGCGGCACGCGUGUGAGAGAGCCACAUGUUACCCAUACUUGUCCUGGGGGUAAACUUCAGCCUCCAGGUUUCUCAAGCUGGCACCUGACCUUUCCCAAGAACACCCGCGAGAAUCAGAAAUGACUGGGCAGUUUUUCAAAGCUGCAGAAGGGACCCAGUCACAGAACAACAUAGCUUUCUGCCAGUACACACGGAGCUGGUUCGUUUCUGGAUUAGCCAGUGCACUUCAUUAUCCCAGCUGGUAUCCAAUAAGCUCUUAUGUCAAGUCUUGUUCAUUUCUACCGAUUAACCACCCACCCACAAAGAGAUUCGCAUCUCAAUUAAUAAGGAUGAACAAUCUCUUAUGUUGUUGUGGGCUACAACCCAUGUGAACCUUCAACUAGACAUGAAACCACUAAUCUUUACAUUGUUGCCUUUUGUCUGAAUCCUGAAGUAAAUGUGAGUUUUCAGUCAGCAUCUUCAUUUAUUCUCCAUUUUCCCCCGCCUGGUGCAUGCCAACUGUUUUCUGGUUACAGUGCAAUUAUUGUGUGUGUGGACUAAAAAGGAAAGGGAAUGCUGAAUAUAUUCUUAUCUUUCUCAUACAUGCAGUGGCGAAAAAGAAUUGCCUUGGCCUUUUCUCUUUAUUUUAUUUUGGAGAGGGGGGUGAAAGCAGCUUUAUUAUUUACAAAAAAUAAAAAUAAAAAAAUUCUUUCCUGAAUGUAAAUGUUUAAAUUCUAGCCUUUUUGCAAAAUGAGCAACAUAAUACAUUUAAAGGGACACUGCCAAGAUAAAAAUCACAUAAAACAUAUACACACUAAAAAAGGCACAACCCUUCUAUAUGUUGCUCAUUAUCUGUGCAGCUGAGGUUGGGAUUCCAACUUGGCAGGAGACUGUUUAUAUUUUUUUUAAAAGCUUUCAUUUAAAUAAUAAAAACACAUUAAAGCUUUUCAGUCCAUUUCAGGGUCCUGAUCCCACAGUUAGGCCCAUAUGGACAGAUCCUUGCUCCAAUAGCUGUGGUUGAAGCAGACCUUUUCAUGGGAUUCCAUGUGGUUUAAGGCUCUAGCCAUGGGGUACCAAUAGCAGGAUUAAGGCCCAGUUUUGCAAAAGCUGCUUGUUUUUUUUUAAAAAAAAAAAAAACAACCCAAAGCCUAAAUUUUGGGGCCUAAACUACUUGUUAGCACCCUUUUAACACCAGCAGCAGCAAGGUAUUCUCAUGGUCCAGGGGCUCCCCACAAGUAUUCCAAAUGCGUCAACACGGUUAGAUUUUCCUUCCGGCUGGCUGGCACACACGUGCACACACACACACAGAGGUUCUAAUUUGAGCUUCAUUGUGGGUUUUGUUUUAAGUGAAUCUCAGCAAACUCUCCUUUACAGAAUAUUUCUCUCCCAGGACAGAAUUGCUCAAUAUAUUUAUUCCCAUAAGAAAAAACGUAAAGGCAUAAAGAGGGAGCCAUUCCCAUCUCACACCCCCACCCCCUCCAUUCCAGUGAAAAGCUAGCUUGGCACAAACACACACAACUACAUUUCAGAUUCAUCCUUUGAAGAAGAAUAAAGGGGAAAAAGGAAAAAUUCAAACCACUGUCGCACACUCUGCUGCAUAAGGCUCUCUCAGCAGUCUUACCCAGGCAGUAUGAGAAAGAGAGAAAGAACCCUCCCUUAUACAGCUGCUAAUGGGCUUCCCUUUUUUAUCUGAUUUUUUUGCUCAUCAGCUAAGGAACCAAAGGCUACAGAAAGAUGCAAAAAUAAUAAAAUAAACUUGGAGAAAAAAAAAAAAAAAGCAUGCUAUCCAAUCUGUUUCGAAAUCCGGAAGGGAACACUGAAAUGGAGCCCUGCUUCCAGACCCUGCCAUUUUUUAAUUGCUACUUUCUGACAAUAAAAUCAGCAACAUUGCAAAACUGCAGGUUCUAUGAAUCUUUAUGCACGACCACGGAUGGGACACAAAACGGACCAAAUGGUAGUGAGAUGAAGCCUUGUGAACUAAUAACCCCACUGACAAGACAACACACCGCCUGAUACUUUUAAUGGAGCGAGUGCUUGUAGAUUCCUUCCCUGGGUAUCCACGAACAUUGUGUUUUCACCUCUCCCCUGCAAUUUUGCAUGCAAGGUGCUUCCUUAUCAGCUAUGUUUUUAUCUUAACAAUUAAAUACUAUGGGCAGCUUG
Caretta caretta (loggerhead turtle) is the source of this 12894-nucleotide non-coding RNA. The record is from RefSeq and is a predicted model, not a curated record. Lineage: Eukaryota; Metazoa; Chordata; Testudines; Cheloniidae.